Molecule: RNA transcript, 721 nt
Organism: Rhinopithecus roxellana (golden snub-nosed monkey)
Lineage: Eukaryota; Metazoa; Chordata; Mammalia; Primates; Cercopithecidae
Gene name: proteasome activator complex subunit 3 pseudogene
Exons: 2
Source: RefSeq, a predicted model, not a curated record
AUGGUCCCCGACAGGAGAGGCGAGCAAAGAAAUUCAGUCAUCCGGAAAGCAGAACGCGAAAGCCAGUGUGGCCGGACCUAUUAUUUCCCUGCAAGGUGGCAAGAAUUAAUAAAAAAUGAACAAAAUAAAAAUGUUAACCAGCAGCUGGUGGACAUUAUUGAGAAAGUGAAACCUGAGAUCCGGCUGUGGAUUGAGAAAUGUAACACGGUCAAAAUAUGGGUACAGCUCCUGAUUCCCAGGAUAGAAGAUGGAAACAACUUUGGGGUGUCUAUUCAGGAGGAAACAGUUGCAGAGCUAAGAACUGUUGAGAGUGAAGCUGCGUCUUAUCUGGACCAGAUUUCUAGAUAUUAUAUUACAAGAGCCAAAUUGGUUUCUAAAAUAGCUAAAUAUCCCCAUGUGGAGGACUAUCGCCGCACCGUGACAGAGAUUGAUGAGAAAGAAUAUAUCAGCCUUCGGCUCAUCAUAUCAGAGCUGAGGAAUCAAUAUGUCACUCUACAUGACAUGAUCCUGAAAAAUAUCGAGAAGAUCAAACGGCCCCGGAGCAGCAAUGCAGAGACUCUGUACUGAGGCCAGGGCCAGGGCCAGGGGACUCUGUGAGUCUGGCUCAAGACCGACAUUGCCUUGGUUUGUUACAUGACUAUCGUGAUGGGGAAACUGGCUGGAAAUAGUAAUCACCCCUCUCUGUUUUUAGUUAGAGUCUAAUGAAACUCUCAUCUAGUUC